GGGAGGGUUUGGAUGUAUGUGUAUAGCUUCAUACAUUUAGUUUUCCAGUUGUUUGUUUUUGUCAUUGAUGUUGUCUCUGUGGCUUUACAAAUUGAAUUUGGUGAUGAUUUUCUGAACUUUUGAGGCACUCUCAUGGUUUCAAUAAAUAAAUGCUGGCAUAUGAUGGAGUUUCUACUCUUUAUAUUUGUGGAUUUGCAACCAAAUGAAUAGCAAUCAAGCAUCUUUUGUCUUGUAUUGUGAUUUUUUAUGUGUUUUCUUUAUAUUCUAGUUCAAGCAAGAACAUAAAGCAUGCCCAGAUAUGUUUUGAAAGUCAAGAGUUUGGGUCCCCUAUUCGGUCUGUGUCUGUUAUUUCUUUUAAGGUCAGAGUUGUCAUGCUUAUAUUACAUUUGUCAAGCGUUAGUUGGAAUCCAAGGUCAGUUAGAUGUGACAACUGGUGAAGGUAGCAGCUUAG
Molecule: unclassified non-coding RNA, 451 nt
Filed under: Hevea brasiliensis (rubber tree)
Lineage: Eukaryota; Viridiplantae; Streptophyta; Magnoliopsida; Malpighiales; Euphorbiaceae
Source: RNAcentral